Molecule: ribosomal RNA, 468 nt
Filed under: uncultured bacterium
Lineage: Bacteria
Description: partial 16S ribosomal RNA
Rfam family: Bacterial small subunit ribosomal RNA
Source: RNAcentral
GACGAACGCUGGCGGCGUGCUUAACACAUGCAAGUCGAACGGAAAGGCCCUGCUUUUGUGGGGUGCUCGAGUGGCGAACGGGUGAGUAACACGUGAGUAACCUGCCCUUGACUUUGGGAUAACUUCAGGAAACUGGGGCUAAUACCGGAUAGGAGCUCCUGCUGCAUGGUGGGGGUUGGAAAGUUUCGGCGGUUGGGGAUGGACUCGCGGCUUAUCAGCUUGUUGGUGGGGUAGUGGCUUAUCAAGGCUUUGACGGGUAGCCGGCCUGAGAGGGUGACCGGCCACAUUGGGACUGAGAUACGGCCCAGACUCCUACGGGAGGCAGCAGUGGGGAAUAUUGCACAAUGGGCGGAAGCCUGAUGCAGCAACGCCGCGUGCGGGAUGACGGCCUUCGGGUUGUGAACCGCUUUCGCCUGUGACGAAGCGUGAGUGACGGUAAUGGGUAAAGAAGCACCGGCUAACUACGUG